CAUCACUCUUUCCAUCUUCGUCAUUCACUUUAUUUCUCUCUCACUCCUUCAAAAGGUUGAACCAGAGGAGCUGAUUGACGAUUAUUGGCCUUUCGAAUCAAGAAAAUCCACUGUGAAAAACAUGGGGGAAGCGUCGAAAGAUGUCAAUACCUACAUGAUGGGAGUUUCGGGCAUGGGUGGAGUGGGGAAGAAUACAUUUGUGAAGGAAGUUGGUAGGAAAGCCAUGAAGAUCUCUUAUUUGAGAGGUGGUUUUCGCAGAGGGAUGAUGAUUAUCUCUCAAAUCUUCUUCUGUUAGAUAACACCAUACGUGUGUUAGCAUCCCGACUCACCACUUAUCUGUGUAGAAGAAGACCCGGGCAUGUUCAACCCCGUAACUUCUCAUCGCACGAUGUCAAAGAUGAACUCCCUCUUAUUGAGCAAGAAGGGAUAUAUUCUGAAAUAAUGUGCGGGGGUUUUUGAUUGCUAGGAUUGCAACUUAUUUUGGUUAUCCACGUUUUGGUUUACCUUUCAUGGUUAUGAGAAUUGUUUUUCUACUAGCUUAUGUUAUUGAAAGUUGCUGCCUUUGAAGGGUUCUUAACUUAAUCUUAUGAUUUGCUAAAAUUAGGAGAUGAUUGGAAUAUGUGACACGCUGUGUCACUUUUGAAAUCCAAUUAUAAACAAACCGAAGCAUAUAUUAGCCCGUUAUGCAAUAGAUGGUAAAGAUUUGUUCUUUCUUCUUUAAUGACAUUAUUGUUAAGAUUGGAGAUUGUUUAUGGACUGCAUCUGAUAUUUUAAUUUUGGCUUGG
Pistacia vera is the source of this 785-nucleotide long non-coding RNA. RefSeq lists it as uncharacterized. The transcript has 4 exons. NCBI's taxonomy places the organism in Eukaryota, Viridiplantae, Streptophyta, Magnoliopsida, Sapindales, Anacardiaceae. The record is from RefSeq and is a predicted model, not a curated record.